RNAcentral lists this RNase P RNA (377 nucleotides) under bacterium. RNAcentral describes it as "RNase P RNA component class A". It matches the Rfam family "Bacterial RNase P class A". From Rfam's summary of the family: Ribonuclease P (RNase P) is a ubiquitous endoribonuclease, found in archaea, bacteria and eukarya as well as chloroplasts and mitochondria. Its best characterised activity is the generation of mature 5'-ends of tRNAs by cleaving the 5'-leader elements of precursor-tRNAs. Cellular RNase Ps are ribonucleoproteins. The record is from RNAcentral.
GGUGCAAGUUGUUCUACCGCCGCGGGGUCACACUCGUGGAGGAAAGUCCGGGCAACACAGGGUAAUCCGCCGCCUGAAAAGGUGGGUACGAAAACAGAAAUGGUUUUGUAACAGAAAGUGCCACAGAAAACGAAGUAGCCACGAGCUUGUCUCGGGGUGAUAGUGAAAAUGUGAGGUAAGAGCUCACAAGCAGAAGCAGUAAUGCUUUUGUUGGGUAAACCUCGGAUGUUGAAAGGCCAAAUAGAUUGCGGAUGUAAGGCGACCCGUCUUAUUUCAGAAAUGAAAGCCGCAAUGGGUAGGUCGCAUAGAUAAAUGGUAGAUAUAUUGUUCGGCAACGGAUAAUGAAACAGAACCCGGCUUACAAACUUGCAUAGUGA